GAUGAACGCUGGCGGCGUGCCUAACACAUGCAAGUCGAGCGAGGGUUUGCUCAGUAUUGAGUAUUCUAAGUCUAGAAUGUUCAAUUCUGAGCAAAACCAAGCGGCGGACGGGUGAGUAACGCGUGGGUAACCUGCCCUAUACACAUGGAUAACAUACUGAAAAGUUUACUAAUACAUGAUAAUAUAUAUUUGCGGCAUCGCAGAUAUAUCAAAGUGUUAGCGGUAUAGGAUGGACCCGCGUCUGAUUAGCUAGUUGGUGAGAUAACUGCCCACCAAGGCGACGAUCAGUAGCCGACCUGAGAGGGUGAUCGGCCACAUUGGAACUGAGACACGGUCCAAACUCCUACGGGAGGCAGCAGUGGGGAAUAUUGCACAAUGGGCGAAAGCCUGAUGCAGCAACGCCGCGUGAACGAUGAAGGUCUUCGGAUCGUAAAGUUCUGUUGCAGGGGAAGAUAAUGACGGUACCCUGUGAGGAAGCCCCGGCUAACUACGUGCCAGCAGCCGCGGUAAUACGUAGGGGGCUAGCGUUAUCCGGAUUUACUGGGCGUAAAGGGUGCGUAGGUGGUCCUUCAAGUCGGUGGUUAAAGGUUACAGCUCAACGUAUAAGCCGCCCAAACUGGAGGACUUGUGUGCAGGAGAGGAAAGUG
Molecule: ribosomal RNA, 647 nt
Filed under: uncultured Peptostreptococcus sp.
Lineage: Bacteria; Bacillati; Bacillota; Clostridia; Peptostreptococcales; Peptostreptococcaceae
Description: bacterial SSU rRNA
Rfam family: Bacterial small subunit ribosomal RNA
Source: RNAcentral